UAGGGAAUCUUCCGCAAUGGACGAAAGUCUGACGGAGCAACGCCGCGUGAGUGAAGAAGGAUUUCGGUUCGUAAAACUCUGUUGUUAGGAAGAAAAAAUGUAUAGUAACUAUAUACAAAAGAGACGGUACCUAACCAGAAAGCCACGGCUAACUACGUGCCAGCAGCCGCGGUAAUACGUAGGUGGCAAGCGUUGUCCGGAAUUAUUGGGCGUAAAGCGCGCGCAGGUGGUUUAGAAAGUCUGAUGUGAAAGCCCACGGCUCAACCGUGGAGGGUCAUUGGAAACUAAUAAACUUGAGUGCAGGAGAGAAAAGUGGAAUUCCUAGUGUAGCGGUGAAAUGCGUAGAGAUUAGGAGGAACACCGGUGGCGAAAGCGGCUUUUUGGCCUGCAACUGACACUGAGGCGCGAAAGCGUGGGGAGCAAACAGG
This 428-nucleotide ribosomal RNA is filed under the name Verrucomicrobiota bacterium. RNAcentral describes it as "Verrucomicrobia bacterium partial 16S ribosomal RNA". It matches the Rfam family "Bacterial small subunit ribosomal RNA", at positions 355 to 776 of the family's 1533-position model. The record is from RNAcentral. Lineage: Bacteria; Pseudomonadati; Verrucomicrobiota.